UAUGUUGUGAUUGAUCUAAUGCUUCAGUGGAGUAUUUCUAGGGAUGACAAUGGACAGAAUCUAGGGAUGACAAUGUGAAGUAUUUGAGGAACCAAGAUUGGGACAAUUCAAACCUUUGUCAUUAUUAUGUGUCGUAACCAUGUGCUUGUAUGUGUUACUCAUUACUGUUUUGGUUGAAGGAAUUAUGCUAGUUUCUUUAGCUUUUAAUGAGAAGUAAACUCAUUGUUUUAGGUAAUGUACCCUUCAAAGCUACUAGUCCUUUGCAUUACAUUACAAUGUAAGAAGUUUCUUGUUAAUGAGAAUGUCCUUUUCACUUUCAAUAACAAGUGUAACAAGAGUAUUAGUUGUUGUCUCAAUUGCUUGAAUGUAUUAUGCAAAAAAAAAACUAUAUAGGACAAGUGAAUUAAAAAUUUCACAGACUUAUUAGCCCUCAUGAGAGAUAUGCUUCCGGAGGAUAAUGUUCUUCCUAAUCGAACCUAUGAGGCCAAAAAAAUGUUGUGCUCUAUUGGCAUGAGCUAUGAUAAGAUACAUGCCUGUCCAAACGAUUGCGUUUUGUUUCGAAACGAAUAUGCAUCGUUAAAUGAGUGCCCGAAAUGCGGUUUAUCUCGAUAUAAGAAAAAAUUGUCUCCAGCAAAAGUCUUAUGGUAUUUUCCUAUAAUUCCGAGAUUUAGGCGCAUGUUUCGUAGUGAAACCGAUGCAAGACAUUUGACUUGGCAUGCAGAUGAAAGAAUUAUUGAUGGAAAGUAUCGACAUCCGGCAGAUUCACCACAGUGGUCGAAAAUUGAUGAUGAUUAUCCUGAUUUUGGAGCAGACGCAAGAAACCUUCGAUUGGCAUUAUCUACUGAUGGAAUGAACCCACAUGGUCUUCAAAUAUUUUGAUGACUUCAAGUGUGCUACUUACUCAAAAUCUAAGUUGGAUGAACUUAAGGAGGAAUGGUGUCAAUUCAUGAUUGAGUUGAAAGUUGUAUAGGAUAUUGAAGGGUAAAAAGGUUAGCUGGCAAGAAGAAAAAGUUGAUAUUUAGCAUCCUUUUGACUUGUGUAAAAAAUAACAAUGUUUUGGAUAAUGCA
This is a long non-coding RNA of Vicia villosa (hairy vetch), 1068 nucleotides long. RefSeq lists it as uncharacterized. The record is from RefSeq and is a predicted model, not a curated record. Lineage: Eukaryota; Viridiplantae; Streptophyta; Magnoliopsida; Fabales; Fabaceae. The transcript has 3 exons.